Molecule: ribosomal RNA, 440 nt
Filed under: uncultured bacterium
Lineage: Bacteria
Description: partial 16S ribosomal RNA
Rfam family: Bacterial small subunit ribosomal RNA
Source: RNAcentral
CCUACGGGAGGCUGCAGUAGGGAAUAUUGCUCAAUGGGGGAAACCCUGAAGCAGCAACGCCGCGUGGAGGAAGAAGGUUUUCGGAUUGUAAACUCCUUUUGUUAGAGAAGAUAAUGACGGUAUCUAACGAAUAAGCACCGGCUAACUCCGUGCCAGCAGCCGCGGUAAUACGGAGGGGGCAAGCGUUACCCGGAUUCACUGGGCGUAAAGAGCGCGUAGGCGGGAUAGCAAGUCAGAUGUGAAAUCCUAUGGCUUAACCAUAGAACUGCAUUUGAAACUGUUAUUCUAGAGUAUGGGAGAGGUAGGUGGAAUUCUUGGUGUAGGGGUAAAAUGCGUAGAGAUCAAGAGGAAUACUCAUGGCGAAGGCGACCUGCUAGAACAUAACUGACGCUGAUGCGCGAAAGCGUGGGGAGCAAACAGGAUUAGAUACCCGGGUAGUC